GACGAACGCUGGCGGCGUGCUUAACACAUGCAAGUCGAACGGAAAGGCCCUGCUUUUGUGGGGUGCUCGAGUGGCGAACGGGUGAGUAACACGUGAGUAACCUGCCCUUGACUUUGGGAUAACUUCAGGAAACUGGGGCUAAUACCGGAUAGGAGCUCCUGCUGCAUGGUGGGGGUUGGAAAGUUUCGGCGGUUGGGGAUGGACUCGCGGCUUAUCAGCUUGUUGGUGGGGUAGUGGCUUACCAAGGCUUUGACGGGUAGCCGGCCUGAGAGGGUGACCGGGGACAUGGCGGUGGGGAGGCGGACGAGGCACGGACGGGAGGCGGGGGUGGGGAGUAUCGAACGGUGGGCGCCACCGUGAUGCCGCACCGGCGGGGGGGGGAUGACGGCCGGGGGUGUGUGAGCCGCUCGCGCCUGUGACGGAGCGGGGGUGAAGGUAAUGAGUAAAGAAGCACCGGGGAAGUACGGGACAGCGGCCGGGGUAAUAGUGGGAAGGGCAGACGUCUGCAC
This 509-nucleotide ribosomal RNA is filed under the name uncultured bacterium. RNAcentral's name for it is "partial 16S ribosomal RNA". The stretch from base 16 to 370 matches the Rfam family "Bacterial small subunit ribosomal RNA", at positions 43 to 396 of the family's 1533-position model. The record is from RNAcentral.